RNAcentral lists this long non-coding RNA (254 nucleotides) under Phoenix dactylifera (date palm). RNAcentral describes it as "long non-coding RNA (PDAC_LNC013942)". The record is from RNAcentral. Lineage: Eukaryota; Viridiplantae; Streptophyta; Magnoliopsida; Arecales; Arecaceae.
UGAGAGCACAGACCAUCCCUUGAUUCGUGAUAUUGUGAUGAUGAGUGGGGGGGGGCCAUUUUGGCCAAGCAUGUAUUCAGGGAGGCCAAUGGGGCAGCCGAUUGGGUGGCUGGCCAUGCGGCCCACCACUUGGGGUAUGCCCUCUAGUCGGGGGAGGCGGAGCUGCCAUUGGCACUCCGUGAGGUAUUGUAUUUUGAUUUUAUUGGGUGUAUUCGUACCCGUAUUGUAUGAAGUACCCGUUUUCAGCAAAAAAA